CGUAGUAUUUUACACUUUGUUAUUGUUUUGUUGUUUUCACCUUGUAGUGGCUUGUAGCUUGUUUGUACAGGUUCGGAUCGAGUGAAGACGUGACGUGCUUAUCUUCUCCGUUAAUUCUGUAUUGUGUGUUUGUAUUUUGCUUCAUACAAAAUGUACGAGUGCUGUGUAUGUAAAAGUUCACGACAGGACGCUAUUUUACAUCAUUUUCCUCGCACUGAGAAAAGACUCAUGAAGUGGUUAAAGUAACUAAAUCGUGAUAAUCUGAAAAAGUUAUCACCAGAAGAACUUUCAAACGUUUUUGUAUGUCAAAAACACUUUGAAAAGAGGUUUAUUACGCCGAAAUUACGUCUCAUAGGCAGUGCAUAUCCAUCUUUGUUUACCGAAGACGAGAUUUCCUCUGGAAUACCAUCACAGGACAAUGCCGAAAACAUGGAUAUUGAUUUGGAGCAUAGUUACUUGCGUAAAAGACACUUUGACCACACAUACUUUCAAAGGGAACCACUAAAAGAAGUAAUUGCCUCUAGCUCCAGUGAGUCUCAGAAUGUGCCUGGCCCAUCGCAAAUUCCACUGCC
Molecule: long non-coding RNA, 572 nt
Organism: Hyposmocoma kahamanoa
Lineage: Eukaryota; Metazoa; Arthropoda; Insecta; Lepidoptera; Cosmopterigidae
Exons: 3
Source: RefSeq, a predicted model, not a curated record